CUAGCUGACCAAAUCAAUACCAUUCAAGAACAGAUCACUUCAUUAGCAGGCAUAGUCUUACAAAACCAAUGAGCUUUAGAUUCUUUCAUGACCAAUCAAGAGGUAAUUUGCAUAAUGCUUAAUGAAGACUACUGGUUUUUUGGCAACCAAUCAGGUAAAGUACAAACCAACUUAAAAACCAUUACAGACAAGGUCAAAAAUUUAUGGAGGAAGGAUUUUUGGGAAGCUUUGACUGAUGAAACUUCAACAUCUGGUCCUCAUUUUGCUAGUUAACCCCCUUUCUCAGUCCUAUAGUAGUCUUUUUACUACUUGUAGUUUUUAGGCCAUACUUAUUUAAUUUAUGAAUUUGUUUUGUUUCUUCCAGUCUAGAAUCCAAAAAACUCCAAAUACUCCUACAAGGUUACCAU
RNAcentral lists this long non-coding RNA (407 nucleotides) under Homo sapiens (human). RNAcentral's name for it is "non-protein coding lnc-PLA2G4A-14:1". The record is from RNAcentral. Lineage: Eukaryota; Metazoa; Chordata; Mammalia; Primates; Hominidae.